Molecule: ribosomal RNA, 207 nt
Filed under: uncultured bacterium
Lineage: Bacteria
Description: partial 16S ribosomal RNA
Rfam family: Bacterial small subunit ribosomal RNA
Source: RNAcentral
CGCGUAGGCGGUCCGAUAAGUCCCGUGUGAAAUCCCUCGGCUCAACUGAGGAAUGGCACGGGAAACUGACGGGCUUGAGUUCGGGAGAGGGAAGCGGAAUUCCGGGUGUAGCGGUGAAAUGCGUAGAUAUCCGGAGGAACACCGGUGGCGAAGGCGGCUUCCUGGACCGACACUGACGCUGAGGCGCGAAAGCUAGGGGAGACAACG